GCUUCCACCCUGGCUUUAAACCCCACGGUUUGCAGUUCGGCUCCAAAGGCCUCCCAAUGACCCCAAUCUCAUUCCUCUGGACUCAACCAUGAUGGCCGAAGGCAGAAGAUAAGCUGGACUCUUGGAAGCCGACACCCCCAGGGAAAUUCCAUCACCCGCCCAGAGCACUGUAGACUCAGCUGGGAAGGUGCAGCAGGAAUCAGAUGGCUGUAGGCAUUGCCAUAGCAACUGUACCCCUCCGAAGCUCUCAUGGGCUGCAGAAGCAGAGCUUCCCUGGGACUCCAUCUGUGUGCGGCCAGGAGUUGAUCCCACCGGCUCUGCACAGUCCUCCUCAAAGCCAAGGGCAGGG
This is a long non-coding RNA of Cebus imitator (Panamanian white-faced capuchin), 349 nucleotides long. RefSeq lists it as uncharacterized. The record is from RefSeq and is a predicted model, not a curated record. The transcript is spliced from 3 exons. Lineage: Eukaryota; Metazoa; Chordata; Mammalia; Primates; Cebidae.